CGGGACGGGUGAGUAAUGCUUGGGAAUCUGGCUUAUGGAGGGGGAUAACUACGGGAAACUGUAGCUAAUACCGCGUAGUAUCGGAAGAUGAAAGUGCGGGACCGUAAGGCCGCAUGCCAUGGGAUGAGCCCAAGUGGGAUUAGGUAGUUGGUGGGGUAAAGGCCUACCAAGCCUGCGAUCUCUAGCUGGCCUGAGAGGAUGGCCAGCCACACUGGAACUGAGACACGGUCCAG
RNAcentral lists this ribosomal RNA (233 nucleotides) under uncultured bacterium. Its description in RNAcentral is "partial 16S ribosomal RNA". It matches the Rfam family "Bacterial small subunit ribosomal RNA", at positions 100 to 334 of the family's 1533-position model. The record is from RNAcentral.